This 301-nucleotide ribosomal RNA is filed under the name uncultured bacterium. RNAcentral's name for it is "partial 16S ribosomal RNA". It matches the Rfam family "Bacterial small subunit ribosomal RNA", at positions 509 to 809 of the family's 1533-position model. The record is from RNAcentral.
CAGUCGCCGCGGGAAUACGUAGGUGGCAAGCGUUGUCCGGAAUUAUUGGGCGUAAAGCGCGCGCAGGUGGUUUAAUAAGUCUGAUGUGAAAGCCCACGGCUCAACCGUGGAGGGUCAUUGGAAACUGUUAAACUUGAGUGCAGGAGAGAAAAGUGGAAUUCCUAGUGUAGCGGUGAAAUGCGCAGAGAUUAGGAGGAACACCAGUGGCGAAGGCGGCUUUUUGGCCUGUAACUGACACUGAGGCGCGAAAGCGUGGUGAGCAAACAGGAUUAGAUACCCCCGUAGUCCCUGUCUCUUAUAU